AAAAAUACUAAUAUCAAAUCAGUAGCAUUUUAACAAAAUGAUACACUAAUCAUAUGAUUUAAGACUUUAUUUUAUCUUCACGUAUGUGGAAUUUAGCACUAGUGUUACACAAAUGCUUUAAGGUACACUUGUCUUUCCUUCCGUACAUAUAUAAAUGCAUAUAACUUAUUAUAAAAUCACAUCCAUGCGAAGGAAGCAAAGCAUUUUAAAACAUCUAUGCUUCCUCCCGGUUAUAUCUAUAUACUUAUAAUAUAUGUGUUUUUAACACAUUGAUUAUUGACAUCAUAUAUAUAUAGCAUGUACGUUGGUUGGAAGGCUAUAACCAUAUGGCCUUAGCGUCUUUAAGCAUCUGUUUGAGCGACCCGUCCACGUGGAACGAGA
This 381-nucleotide long non-coding RNA is filed under the name Brassica napus (rape). RNAcentral's name for it is "long non-coding RNA (BNAP_LNC003225)". The record is from RNAcentral. Lineage: Eukaryota; Viridiplantae; Streptophyta; Magnoliopsida; Brassicales; Brassicaceae.